UACGGGGGGGGCAAGCGUUGUUCGGAAUUACUGGGCGUAAAGAGCUCGUAGGCGGUCUGUCGCGUCGGCUGUGAAAACUCGGGGCUCAACCCCGAGCCUGCAGUCGAUACGGGCAGACUAGAGUGCGGUAGGGGAGACUGGAAUUCCUGGUGUAGCGGUGAAAUGCGCAGAUAUCAGGAGGAACACCGGUGGCGAAGGCGGGUCUCUGGGCCGAUACUGACGCUGAGGAGCGAAAGCGUGGGGAGCGAACAGG
Molecule: ribosomal RNA, 253 nt
Filed under: uncultured bacterium
Lineage: Bacteria
Description: partial 16S ribosomal RNA
Rfam family: Bacterial small subunit ribosomal RNA
Source: RNAcentral